UGACAUAGGGUAGACAUGUCACAAGGUGACAUAGCGUAGAUCUCAGACCUCCAAAACAAAUCUAACGGCUGAGAUUCGUCCACGUCAUCACGAUUUAAAAUUUAACUCUAGUAAAAUUUUAACUCCUGAAAUUUUACUCCCAGUAAAUUUUUUACUCCUACGAGUUAAAUUUUAACUCGUGAUGACGUGAACGAAUCUCAACCGUUGGAUUUAUUUUGGAGGGUUGAGAUCUAUGCUAUGUCACCUCGUGACAUGUCUACCCUAUAUCAC
This 270-nucleotide unclassified non-coding RNA is filed under the name Oryza sativa (Asian cultivated rice). The record is from RNAcentral. Lineage: Eukaryota; Viridiplantae; Streptophyta; Magnoliopsida; Poales; Poaceae.